GUACCUUCCUGCCGCCAGAAAGCUCUGGCAUCAGACCCUUACCGCUGGUGGACCUCUCUCCCCUCGCUAUUCAGUAGAAUUGCUGUUCCUGUCUACCAGAGCCUGCCAGCGUCUCCCACCUCUGCCCUGAGAUCUGUUUCACCCCCUGAGGGAAAAACUAGCACUGUUGUCUCUGCAUUGCUAACCCCACCUUACCCUGCCUUCAACAGAGAACCUGUCCCUGCUCUACCCUCUGCAUUUUCUUUUUCAGAGGGAAAAUGGUCCCCGAGGAUCUGGAGAGGCAGAUUGGUAUGGCCGAGGCUGAGGGUGCUGUGCCGUUCCUGGUCAGUGCCACCUCUGGCACCACUGUGCUAGGGGCCUUUGACCCCCUGGAGGCAAUUGCUGAUGUGUGCCAGCGUCAUGGGCUAUGGCUGCAUGUGGAUGCUGCCUGGGGUGGGAGCGUCCUGCUGUCACAGACACACAGGCAUCUCCUGGAUGGGAUCCAGAGGGCUGACUCUGUGGCCUGGAAUCCCCACAAGCUCCUCGCAGCAGGCCUGCAAUGCUCUGCACUUCUUCUCCAGGAUACCUCGAACCUGCUCAAGCGCUGCCAUGGGUCCCAGGCCAGCUACCUUU
RNAcentral lists this small RNA (612 nucleotides) under Pan troglodytes (chimpanzee). RNAcentral's name for it is "retained intron". The record is from RNAcentral. Lineage: Eukaryota; Metazoa; Chordata; Mammalia; Primates; Hominidae.